GACGAACGCUGGCGGCGUGCUUAACACGUGCAAGUCGAACGGAAAGGCCCUGCUUUUGUGGGGUGCUCGAGUGGCGAACGGGUGAGUAACACGUGAGUAACCUGCCCUUGACUUUGGGAUAACUUCAGGAAACUGGGGCUAAUACCGGAUAGGAGCUCCUGCUGCAUGGUGGGGGUUGGAAAGUUUCGGCGGUUGGGGAUGGACUCGCGGCUUAUCAGCUUGUUGGUGGGGUAGUGGCUUACCAAGGCUUUGACGGGUAGCCGGCCUGAGAGGGUGACCGGCCACAUUGGGACUGAGAUACGGCCCAGACUCCUACGGGAGGCAGCAGGGGGGAAUAUUGCACAAUGGGCGGAAGCCUGAUGCAGCAACGCCGGGAGCGGGAUGACGGCCUUCGGGUUGUAAACCGCUUUCGCCUGUGACGAAGCGUGAGUGACGGUAAUGGGUAAAGAAGCACCGGCUAACUACGUG
This 468-nucleotide ribosomal RNA is filed under the name uncultured bacterium. RNAcentral describes it as "partial 16S ribosomal RNA". It matches the Rfam family "Bacterial small subunit ribosomal RNA", at positions 28 to 507 of the family's 1533-position model. The record is from RNAcentral.